ACGAACGCUGGCGGCGCGCUUAAUACAUGCAAGUCGAACGAGAAGCCAGAGCUUGCUCUGGUGGAAAGUGGCGAACGGGUGAGUAACACGUGAGAAACCUGCCCCAAAGAUUGGGAUAAGCCUUGGAAACGAGGUCUAAUACCAAAUACCUUCUUUUUAACACAUGUUAAAAAGAGAAAUGCUCCGGCGCUUUGGGAUGGUCUCGCGAUCUAUCAGCUUGUUGGUGAGGUAACGGCUCACCAAGGCAUCGACGGAUAGCUGGUCUGAGAGGAUGUCCAGCCACAUUGGAACUGAGACACGGUCCAAACUCCUACGGGAGGCAGCAGUAGGGAAUCUUGCACAAUGAGGGAAACCUUGAUGCAGCGACGCCGCGUGCGGGACGAAGGCCCUAGGGUUGUAAACCGCUUUCAGUAGGGACGAAAGUGACGGUACCUACAGAAGAAGCCCCGGCCAACUAUGUG
Molecule: ribosomal RNA, 461 nt
Filed under: uncultured bacterium
Lineage: Bacteria
Description: bacterial SSU rRNA
Rfam family: Bacterial small subunit ribosomal RNA
Source: RNAcentral